UACGGGGGGAGCAAGCGUUGUUCGGAUUUACUGGGCGUAAAGGGCGCGUAGGCGGCCAGCACAAGUCAGUUGUGAAAUCUCCGGGCUUAACUCGGAAAGGUCAACUGAUACUGUGCGGCUAGAGUGCAGAAGGGGCAACUGGAAUUCUCGGUGUAGCGGUGAAAUGCGUAGAGAUCGGGAAGAACACCAGUGGCGAAAGCGCUCUACUGGGCCAAAACUGACACUGAGGGACGAAAGCUAGGGGAGCGAAAGGG
RNAcentral lists this ribosomal RNA (254 nucleotides) under uncultured bacterium. RNAcentral describes it as "partial 16S ribosomal RNA". It matches the Rfam family "Bacterial small subunit ribosomal RNA", at positions 524 to 776 of the family's 1533-position model. The record is from RNAcentral.